RNAcentral lists this ribosomal RNA (460 nucleotides) under uncultured bacterium. Its description in RNAcentral is "partial 16S ribosomal RNA". It matches the Rfam family "Bacterial small subunit ribosomal RNA", at positions 338 to 795 of the family's 1533-position model. The record is from RNAcentral.
CCUACGGGGUGCAGCAGUGAGGAAUAUUGGUCAAUGGACGGAAGUCUGAACCAGCCAUGCCGCGUGCAGGAAGACGGCUCUAUGAGUUGUAAACUGCUUUUGUACAAGGGUAAACCUGAAUACGUGUAUUCAGCUGAAAGUACUGUACGAAUAAGAAUCGGCUAACUCCGUGCCAGCAGCCGCGGUAAUACGGAGGAUCCAAGCGUUAUCCGGAUUUAUUGGGUUUAAAGGGUGCGUAGGCGGAUUGAUAAGUUAGAGGUGAAAUGUCCGAGCUUAACUCGGGAACUGCCUCUAAUGCUGUUGAUCAAGAGAGUAGAUGCGGUAGGCGGAAUGUAUGGUGUAGCGGUGAAAUGCUUAGAGAUCAUACAGAACACCGAUUGCGAAGGCAGCUUACCAAUCUAUAUCUGACGUUGAGGCACGAAAGCGUGGGGAGUAAACAGGAUUAGAUACCCUAGUAGUC